GGUUUUCGGAUCGUAAAACUCUGUUGUUAGGGAAGAACAAGUACCGUUCGAAUAGGGCGGUACCUUGACGGUACCUAACCAGAAAGCCACGGCUAACUACGUGCCAGCAGCCGCGGUAAUACGUAGGUGGCAAGCGUUGUCCGGAAUUAUUGGGCGUAAAGCGCGCGCAGGCGGUUUCUUAAGUCUGAUGUGAAAGCCCCCGGCUCAACCCGGGGAGGGUCAUUGGAAACUGGGGAACUUGAGUGCAGAAGAGGAGAGUGGAAUUCCACGUGUAGCGGUGAAAUGCGUAGAGAUGUGGAGGAACACCAGUGGCGAAGGCGACUCUCUGGUCUGUAACUGACGCUGAGGCGCGAAAGCGUGGGGAGCGAACAGGAUUAGAUACCCUGGUAGUCCACGCCGUAAACGAUGAGUGCUAAGUGUUAGAGGGUUUCCGCCCUUUAGUGCUGCAGCAAACGCAUUAAGCACUCCGCCUGGGGAGUACGGUCGCAAGACUGAAACUCAAAGGAAUUGACGGGGGCCCGCACAAGCGGUGGAGCAUGUGGUUUAAUUCGAAGCAACGCGAAGAACCUUACCAGGUCUUGACAUCCUCUGACAACCCUAGAGAUAGGAAUUCCCCUUCGGGGGCAGAGUGACAGGUGGUGCAUGGUUGUCGUCAGCUCGUGUCGUGAGAUGUUGGGUUAAGUCCCGCAACGAGCGCAACCCUUGAUCUUAGUUGCCAGCAUUCAGUUGGGCACUCUAAGGUGACUGCCGGUGACAAACCGGAGGAAGGUGGGGAUGACGUCAAAUCAUCAUGCCCCUUAUGACCUGGGCUACACACGUGCUACAAUGGGCAGAACAAAGGGCAGCGAAGCCGC
Molecule: ribosomal RNA, 854 nt
Filed under: Bacillus licheniformis
Lineage: Bacteria; Bacillati; Bacillota; Bacilli; Caryophanales; Bacillaceae
Description: bacterial SSU rRNA
Rfam family: Bacterial small subunit ribosomal RNA
Source: RNAcentral